UACGUAGGGUGCAAGCGUUGUCCGGAAUUAUUGGGCGUAAAGAGCUCGUAGGCGGCUUGUCGCGUCGACCGUGAAAACUUGGGGCUCAACCCCAAGCCUGCGGUCGAUACGGGCAGGCUCGAGUUCGGUAGGGGAGACUGGAAUUCCUGGUGUAGCGGUGAAAUGCGUAGAUAUUGGGAAGAACACCCGUGGCGAAGGCGGCUCUCUGGGACGGUACUGACGCUGAGACGCGAAAGCGUGGGGAGCGAACAGG
Molecule: ribosomal RNA, 253 nt
Filed under: uncultured bacterium
Lineage: Bacteria
Description: partial 16S ribosomal RNA
Rfam family: Bacterial small subunit ribosomal RNA
Source: RNAcentral